Molecule: transfer RNA, 64 nt
Filed under: Cheilonereis cyclurus
Lineage: Eukaryota; Metazoa; Annelida; Polychaeta; Phyllodocida; Nereididae
Description: tRNA-Tyr
Source: RNAcentral
GUUAGGGUGGCCGAGAAUUAAGCAUUAGUUUGUAAAACUAACAACGGAGAUAUUCCCCCUAAUA